GACGAACGCUGGCGGCGUGCUUAACACAUGCAAGUCGAACGGAAAGGCCCUGCUUUUGUGGGGUGCUCGAGUGGCGAACGGGUGAGUAACACGUGAGUAACCUGCCCUUGACUUUGGGAUAACUUCAGGAAACUGGGGCUAAUACCGGAUAGGAGCUCCUGCUGCAUGGUGGGGGUUGGAAAGUUUCGGCGGUUGGGGAUGGACUCGCGGCUUAUCAGCUUGUUGGUGGGGUAGUGGCUUACCAAGGCUUUGACGGGUAGCCGGCCUGAGAGGGUGACCGGCGACAUUGGGACUGAGAUACGGCCCAGUCUGCUACGGGAGGCAGUAGUGGCGAAUAUGACACAAUGGGCGGGAGCCUGAUGCAGCAACGCCGCGUGCGGGAUGACGUCCUUCGGGUUGUAAACCGCUUUCGCCUGUGACGAAGCGUGAGUGACGGUAAUGGGUAAAGAAGCACCGGCUAACUACGUG
This 468-nucleotide ribosomal RNA is filed under the name uncultured bacterium. RNAcentral describes it as "partial 16S ribosomal RNA". It matches the Rfam family "Bacterial small subunit ribosomal RNA", at positions 28 to 507 of the family's 1533-position model. The record is from RNAcentral.